AACGUAGGAGGCAAGCGUUAUCCGGAUUUACUGGGCGUAAAGCGCGUGCAGGUGGUUGUCUAAGUCGUGCGUGAAAGCGCCCUGCUCAACAGGGCGAGUGCGGGCGAGACUGGACGACUAGAGCUAGAUAGAGGCAAGUGGAAUUCCGGGUGUAGUGGUGAAAUGCGUAGAGAUCCGGAGGAAUACCAGUGGCGAAGGCGGCUUGCUGGGUCUAAGCUGACACUCAGACGCGAAAGCAUGGGGAGCGAACGGG
Molecule: ribosomal RNA, 253 nt
Filed under: uncultured bacterium
Lineage: Bacteria
Description: partial 16S ribosomal RNA
Rfam family: Bacterial small subunit ribosomal RNA
Source: RNAcentral